This 64-nucleotide transfer RNA is filed under the name Zenillia sp. 2 HNL-2023a. RNAcentral describes it as "tRNA-Gly". Lineage: Eukaryota; Metazoa; Arthropoda; Insecta; Diptera; Tachinidae. The record is from RNAcentral.
AUCUAUAUAAUAUAAAAAGUAUAUUUGACUUCCAAUCAUAAAGUCUAUAAAAAUAGUAUAGAUA